Phrynosoma platyrhinos (Desert horned lizard) is the source of this 72-nucleotide non-coding RNA. The record is from the annotation of a GenBank genome assembly. Lineage: Eukaryota; Metazoa; Chordata; Lepidosauria; Squamata; Phrynosomatidae.
GACUUUGUGGUGUAGUGGUUUGAGCAUUGGACUAUGACUCUGGAGACCAGGGUUCAAAUCCUGGCUCAGCCA